Molecule: ribosomal RNA, 468 nt
Filed under: uncultured bacterium
Lineage: Bacteria
Description: partial 16S ribosomal RNA
Rfam family: Bacterial small subunit ribosomal RNA
Source: RNAcentral
GACGAACGCUGGCGGCGUGCUUAACACAUGCAAGUCGAACGGAAAGGCCCUGCUUUUGUGGGGUGCUCGAGUGGCGAACGGGGGAGUAACACGUGAGUAACCUGCCCUUGACUUUGGGAUAACUUCAGGAAACUGGGGCUAAUACCGGAUAGGAUCUCCUGCUGCAUGGUGGGGGUUGGAAAGUUUCGGCGGUUGGGGAUGGACUCGCGGCUUAUCAGCUUGUUGGUGGGGUAGUGGCUUACCAAGGCUUUGACGGGUAGCCGGCCUGAGAGGGUGACCGGCCACAUUGGGACUGAGAUACGGCCCAGACUCCUACGGGAGGCAGCAGUGGGGAAUAUUGCACAAUGGGCGGAAGCCUGAUGCAGCAACGCCGCGUGCGGGAUGACGGCCUUCGGGUUGUAAACCGCUUUCGCCUGUGACGAAGCGUGAGUGACGGUAAUGGGUAAAGAAGCACCGGCUAACUACGUG